AGACCCGAAACCCGGUGAUCUAGCCAUGGGCAGGUUGAAGGUUGGGUAACACUAACUGGAGGACCGAACCGACUAAUGUUGAAAAAUUAGCGGAUGACCUGUGGCUGGGGGUGAAAGGCCAAUCAAACCGGGAGAUAGCUGGUUCUCCCCGAAAGCUAUUUAGGUAGCGCCUCGUGAAUUCAUCUCCGGGGGUAGAGCACUGUUUCGGCUAGGGGGCCAUCCCGGCUUACCAACCCGAUGCAAACUGCGAAUACCGGAGAAUGUUAUCACGGGAGACACACGGCGGGUGCUAACGUCCGUCGUGAAGAGGGAAACAACCCAGACCGCCAGCUAAGGUCCCAAAGUCAUGGUUAAGUGGGAAACGAUGUGGGAAGGCCCAGACAGCCAGGAUGUUGGCUUAGAAGCAGCCAUCAUUUAAAGAAAGCGUAAUAGCUCACUGGUCGAGUCGGCCUGCGCGGAAGAUGUAACGGGGCUAAACCAUGCACCGAAGCUGCGGCAGCGACACUGUGUGUUGUUGGGUAGGGGAGCGUUCUGUAAGCCUGUGAAGGUGUGUCGUGAGGCAUGCUGGAGGUAUCAGAAGUGCGAAUGCUGACAUAAGUAACGAUAAAGCGGGUGAAAAGCCCGCUCGCCGGAAGACCAAGGGUUCCUGUCCAACGUUAAUCGGGGCAGGGUGAGUCGACCCCUAAGGCGAGGCCGAAAGGCGUAGUCGAUGGGAAACGGGUUAAUAUUCCCGUACUUGGUGUUACUGCGAAGGGGGGA
RNAcentral lists this ribosomal RNA (759 nucleotides) under Salmonella enterica subsp. enterica serovar Enteritidis. RNAcentral's name for it is "partial 23S ribosomal RNA". It matches the Rfam family "Bacterial large subunit ribosomal RNA", at positions 711 to 1472 of the family's 2925-position model. Lineage: Bacteria; Pseudomonadati; Pseudomonadota; Gammaproteobacteria; Enterobacterales; Enterobacteriaceae. The record is from RNAcentral.